GUGCUUUCUAAAGCCCCAUCAGACUCCAAUGAUGGAGCACUGUGGUGCUUUGAGUAUUUGGGGGUGCCUUCUGGGUACCCAGCACUGUGCUGGAUGUGAUGCUGAAAAAUGAUAACAGGGCUUCCUUUACACUCUCAUUUCCUCAGCAGCCCCUCAGGUGCAUAUGAGGAAACUGAGUCACAGAGCGUGCCUUGAAUGUCCCAAAACCCCCAGUCUGUGAGUCAGGGUUUGUGUUCAUUAACAGGUCUCCAUCUCUCACCAUGAUGCUGGUGGCCCCCCCCAAGUAGGAGCCACAGAUCUUUGCCCAAAGUCCAGGGCUACCUGUAUGACUCCACAAUUCUCCCGGGCUGCUGAGGGUGUUGGCAGCCCUGAGGGUGGCAGCUGGGGUAGGGAGUGUGCGAUGCAGUCACGGGCCCUUGGCGGAGUGUUGGCUCCAAGCCUGGCUCCUCCGCCAACCCCAGGCCAGCCUCCCUGGCACUUCCACCCCAGCCCCUCUGAGCUGAAGAUGGUUUCAGACCAUUUCACAGGAGUGCUAGGCUCAGUCAUCUUUUAGUGGCUGGGGCCCUUUCCGGAUCUCGCUGGGCCUCCCUCUAAGCAAGCCCCUGGAGGCGCAGAGCAGAGGGGUGACCAAGCAGGGCCCCAAGCCCGCAGUCUCCCCUCUCUUCCUCCUCUCUUCUAGCACUUCCCUCGUGCGUCCCCCAUCAGCUCCUCUGUCCCCCACAGCAGGUCCCUCUCUCCAAUCAUAGUUCCUGCAGCUCAGCUCCCUCUCCAGAAGACUUCUGCCCAGGGGCGUGUACUCAUGGAUCUCCCUGAACCCUACCCCUGGUACCCCAAAGCAAGAGGGCUAGAUGGCGGGAGGACAGAGGAUUGAGAGGGGAGCUCGGUGCCCCUGGUGCCCCUGUCUCCGGCGGGUCCCCCCAGGGAGGAACCCCACCAUCCUUUUCACAUCCUUUUCACAGCCCCUCUCCCUGGCCGCUGCCCAAUGUGACUCCUCAUCCAAGUCAGGGCCGGCCUCUGGAUUCUUCUGGGUGCACACGGGGCCAGUCCCCUCUCCCAGGUCUGUCCUGAGUCCUGCUGCUGCCUCGGGCCACUUAGCAUGCAGCCCUGGUUGUGCGGCUGCAGCAACCAAAUGAGAUUAGCUUGCCUGCUAAAGCAAGUCCCCACUCGCCACCACCCACGGCCCUGCACAGUCGCCAGCUGCUCUGGAGAGCCCACGGCUGGGCGGGCCCGGCCCGGCCCCUACCACCUCACUCCCCCUCGAACUUGGGGCCAGGGGCAGGUGGAAAGAGGAGGAAGGAUCCUGCCCAACCUUAUAGGCCUGCAGCCUCCCUCCCAACAGGCCUUCUGGAGUCAGCAGGGGGGCAGAGGGGACUCUGGGCAGAGGGAGACAAACGAGAUUAAGGAUGCUUCCUGGCUUUGUAUCCUUUGCCAGUUCUCCUCCACCCAACCUCCUGGGAGGAACAAAUGGGACAUACACCCUGCCGCUUCUCCGCCCUUUACAUCUCCAGGGCCAGUAGUAGGGAGCGAGGGGGAGGAAGGGUCCGGCCCAGCGGCACUCCCUCAGCGUCUGCUCCCACGCCUGCUGGGAGUCAAGCAAGAAGGUCUGCCCCGGCCCCGGGCCUCCCUGCCUCUCUCCUGGCCAGAGAAGGGGAGCCGUGGGAAGAAGGACCCAACUCAGCCCCAGCCCCCAUCCAGCCGGAGGCCCUGCCCCUCACCCCCAGGAAGCUUCCAGGGCCUGUGAAGGAAGCUGGCAGGAAGAAGGUUUUCAAGAAGCCCGAGUUCUCAAUCAGACCCCCGGAGAGCCCUCAUGGUGCAGCCCAGCCCAGCCCAGCCCAGCCCCCAGGCCUGACGGAAGAUCAGAAGCCGAAUGCUGCUGCCUCACAGCCUGAGCUGGUCCUGGCUCCCCGUUCCCAGCCAGCGUCUCCAUCUACAGCCUGAAAGUCUGAGACUCCGGCGUUACCUGGCUCCAGGCCUCUAACCACGCAGCCCCUUCCCUCACCCCUCUCUGCUCGCCCACCUCCCUUCCACAUGUCCACCUGUCACUAGUCUAGUGCAGACCCUCUGGGGGUGGGCGGUCCCAGGAGCCAGGGAGUCGAGCAAGGGGAGGACCCCAGCCCAGGAUCAUGUGGCCCCAGACCUUUCCCCAAUAAGCCCACCCUCCCCAAACACACACGCGCGCAUGCGCGCACACACACACAAACACACAGAUACACACACACACACUCUGCUUCUUUUGGAUCACUCAGAAUGUGUUGUUGAAUCUCAAGUUCACAAAUUAUCACCUCUUAAUCCAAUCCCCAUUUUACAGGUGGGGAAAUCGAGGCCCAGAGAGGGAACGGACUUGUCCAAAGUUACAUGGCAAGGAAAUUCCUCUGAGCCCAGCCAGUCCUUCCCUCCUGGAAGGACCUCCCCUGGGAGCCCCCAGUGGCCUAUAGGCUGUCUCCCCAGGCUCUCCAAGUCCUCCUGGCUGCCAGACCCGGCCAAUUGCAGGGCCCCAAAGUUAAUAAAUCAAGGUGACUUUGGGGACGAGAAUCGGCCUCCUUCUCCCUUGUCCCUCCCAUUUGCAUAAUCCUGGCUGGCAAUAUGAUAAUGAUGUUUGUUAAAGACAGAGCACAAUAAAUUAAUACCGUUAAGUUGUUGCUGCAAAAUGCAAAGCAGGUAAUUUACUGCCAGCAAGGAAUGGAGCCUUUAAACUGUAAUGGAUUAACUUUCCCAGCAGCAAAUGUGUCCCCCGAGGGAGGGAGGGGGACGGCAGGGGCGGGGCUGGCUUGAUGGUAGGGAGGCCGCCCUUCUUCCCAGGGUCCGGGCAUUUGGUGCCCAGGCCCCGAUCUUAGGUCUCCACUGGAUGUCAACCUCUUCUCCAUUGUGCAGAAGGGGAAACUGAGGCCGGCAUGGAGGUUGAGCUGUAGAAGACCACAGCCAGACAGUGCUGGUGAACUGGGACUUCCUGGGACAGCACACACCCCUCUAGAGGAGGGGGCUGCGGAUGCCCCAUUGGUGCACCCACACUGGGACCCUCGGAAGCAGCCCCUGUUGCAGACCUUUCUUUCUUGAGGGUGACUAGAGGGGUCCCACCAGGCCUAGUCCCAACCCCACAAGUGGCCAAGCUUCCAGCCCAAAGGAGGCCUCAGCCCCAGAGUCAAUCCUGGCUCAGGCCUGGCUCCUCUUGGGGUCCACACCACGGCAAGGAGGG
Molecule: long non-coding RNA, 3193 nt
Filed under: Equus caballus (horse)
Lineage: Eukaryota; Metazoa; Chordata; Mammalia; Perissodactyla; Equidae
Description: lncRNA (ENSECAG00000050163.1)
Source: RNAcentral